UUCCCAUUAAUAAAUUGACUCU
This 22-nucleotide small nuclear RNA is filed under the name Arabidopsis thaliana (thale cress). RNAcentral's name for it is "snRNA_07819". The record is from RNAcentral. Lineage: Eukaryota; Viridiplantae; Streptophyta; Magnoliopsida; Brassicales; Brassicaceae.